Molecule: long non-coding RNA, 700 nt
Organism: Anas platyrhynchos (mallard)
Lineage: Eukaryota; Metazoa; Chordata; Aves; Anseriformes; Anatidae
Source: RefSeq, a predicted model, not a curated record
GUCGCAAAGGUCAGGUGCCCCAGUAAGAGCAUGGGCAGCUUGGAGCCGUCCUUGGGCAGGUCUCACCACAGAGCCCUGGGAGGAGGUCCUGGUGUAAGAUGUCUGGCAGGGAAGUGUGAGCCCCCAGAGGUUCCUGGGCUGCAGGAGGUGUUGGAAGGCAAUUGCCGAACAGAGGAAAGGCUAUCAAUCAUCUGGUUUCGACUCCUGUGUAUGGAAAUCCAGAGAAUAUGUUACCAAUUUUCAGCUGUGUGCUUGGCAGUGCAGCAGCAGCCAUGGACUUCCCUUCCACCUCCUAAUGACCCUACUGCAAAAAGCUCAUGCUAGUGAUGCAAAAAGCUGAAAUCAAAGUUUGGUUUCAGCUAGAUGACAAGUCUGCAGGAACCCAGUGAUCCACAGCUGUAGUGGACGCAGCCACCCGAAGCAGACUGCUGACUCUCCAUCCCUUUCCACCUGCACUCUCCCACCUCCACCUGCGUGUUUGCACUGAAUAUUGUGCGUUUGAUCAUGCAGCUGUGCAGUGAAUGCAGUCAGCCCAUGGAUCCUGCUGAAGUCCACUGCUAUCCUACAGAAUUUAUUUUUGGCAGGAUCUGUAAGCUGAUCCAGUUUGCCAUGCGAGUGCACCAGCUGAUACAAGGCUGGUGAUGGAAAGGUAUGGCUGGGGUUACAUUUAAUUAAAAAAAAAAUAUAUAGAUAUCUCUUA